AGUGAACGCUGGCGGUAGGCCUAACACAUGCAAGUCGAACGGCAGCACAGUAAGAGCUUGCUCUUACGGGUGGCGAGUGGCGGACGGGUGAGGAAUACAUCGGAAUCUACUUUUUCGUGGGGGAUAACGUAGGGAAACUUACGCUAAUACCGCAUACGACCUACGGGUGAAAGCAGGGGAUCUUCGGACCUUGCGCGAUUGAAUGAGCCGAUGUCGGAUUAGCUGGUUGGCGGGGUAAAGGCCCACCAAGGCGACGAUCCGUAGCUGGUCUGAGAGGAUGAUCAGCCACACUGGAACUGUGACACGGUCCAGACUCCUACGGGAGGCAGCAGUGGGGAAUAUUGGACAAUGGGCGCAAGCCUGAUCCAGCCAUACCGCGUGGGUGAAGAAGGCCUUCGGGUUGUAAAGCCCUUUUGUUGGGAAAGAAAAGCAGCAGGUUAAUACCCCGCUGUUCUGACGGUACCCAAAGAAUAAGCACCGGCUAACUUCGUG
RNAcentral lists this ribosomal RNA (492 nucleotides) under uncultured bacterium. Its description in RNAcentral is "partial 16S ribosomal RNA". It matches the Rfam family "Bacterial small subunit ribosomal RNA", at positions 29 to 507 of the family's 1533-position model. The record is from RNAcentral.